AGUAUAUCACGAAGCUUUAGGAAAUGCGGCUUUUAUUGCAAAAGCGCGAAUUGAAGGACUGCGUGAUUUUGG
RNAcentral lists this small RNA (72 nucleotides) under Flavobacterium sp. S87F.05.LMB.W.Kidney.N. Its description in RNAcentral is "Flavo-1 RNA". Lineage: Bacteria; Pseudomonadati; Bacteroidota; Flavobacteriia; Flavobacteriales; Flavobacteriaceae. The record is from RNAcentral.